AACGAACGCUGGCGGCAGGCCUAACACAUGCAAGUCGAGCGCGCCCUUCGGGGUGAGCGGCGGACGGGUGAGUAACGCGUGGGAACGUGCCCUUUUCUACGGAAUAGCCUCGGGAAACUGAGAGUAAUACCGUAUACGCCCUUUGGGGGAAAGAUUUAUCGGAAAAGGAUCGGCCCGCGUUGGAUUAGGUAGUUGGUGGGGUAAUGGCCUACCAAGCCGACGAUCCAUAGCUGGUUUGAGAGGAUGAUCAGCCACACUGGGACUGAGACACGGCCCAGACUCCUACGGGAGGCAGCAGUGGGGAAUCUUAGACAAUGGGGGCAACCCUGAUCGAGCCAUGCCGCGUGAGUGAUGAAGGCCUUAGGGUUGUAAAGCUCUUUCAGCUGGGAAGAUAAUGACGGUACCAGCAGAAGAAGCCCUGGCUAACUCCGUG
This 433-nucleotide ribosomal RNA is filed under the name uncultured bacterium. Its description in RNAcentral is "partial 16S ribosomal RNA". It matches the Rfam family "Bacterial small subunit ribosomal RNA", at positions 29 to 507 of the family's 1533-position model. The record is from RNAcentral.